Molecule: long non-coding RNA, 1568 nt
Organism: Trifolium pratense (red clover)
Lineage: Eukaryota; Viridiplantae; Streptophyta; Magnoliopsida; Fabales; Fabaceae
Exons: 7
Source: RefSeq, a predicted model, not a curated record
CGAACCCAGUAAACCCUUCCUUAGAACCAUUAUUCUUCUUCAUCGCAACAAUCUUCUUCUUCUUCUUCUUCUUCAAUGCAAACAAUCUUCUUUUUUUCACUGCAAUCAAUCGAAUUCUUUAUUGCACCUUCAUCACCUUCGAACCAUUCGUAAAGUGAAACCCUAACUUUCAUAGAAAUUGAACUGCUUUACUCAAACUUGAAAAUUCGAACCGUUCCUUCGCUGAAAACUUGGAAAUUCGAACCGUUCCCUUCACCCAUUGAUAUGUAUUGAAACUUUAAACCCUAACUUUUUAUUUUUAUUUAUCGUGAGUUUUCAAUUUCAUUUUUUGGAGCAUAUGAUUUUUAAGAGAACUGAUCGACGUACCGCGAGAGAUCUGGAAGAGGAGAUUGAGAAUAUGGGUGGACAUCUUAAUGCUUAUACUUCGAGGGAGCAGACUACUUAUUAUGCUAAAGUUUCGCAGAAUGAUGUACCUAAUGCACUUGAUAUUCUGGCUGAUAUUCUGUGUUUAUUGCAGUUAUUUUCAAUCUCUUAAUCUCUCGGAUGUUUGAGCUAAUUGUGGACUAAUCGUCUCGGAGGUUUGAGCUAGAAUCAUUAGUGUCUGGGCUGUGCAGAAUUUUCUGUCUCUCGCAGUCUCGCUUCAAUUUCUCUCUUGAUCAUUAUGGCAUCGUGGGGUAAUAGAAAGCAAUAUGAGGCUCAAAUACUUACGAAGGAAAAUUAUGUUUCACUACAAUAGUUUUGAUCUAUGGCAGCACCGCUUUUCUUCCGUUUAUGUUAUUGAGGUUUCCUAAUCUAUAAAAACAUUAGUACAUGUUCAGCUUCAUCAAAGGGAGUUCUAUUUUCACCCUUAUUGUCUUGAUAUGUAUUGUACUUUAUAAGAUGGAGGAGGAAUGUGAAAUGUAUAGAGGGGAGGCUCACAAGGCACCCAUCCUAGCAGCUAUAAAAUUGGGAAUGUGGUCCUUCUGUUCUAUUUUGCAAAAAUGUGAGAUUUCCAUUGAGCAAAAGUGUGUAUGGUGUAGAACCAUCUGAAAGUGCAGUACUGAGAAUAGAGGAAAAUCAGGCAAACAUCAAAUCCAAGGGAUUGGUGUUGGCAUCGUUCCGCCUGUCUUGGAAGUUGGUCUCCUAAAAGAAGUUAUUCAGGUUUUAUGAACGAUACAUGUUUCAAGUGAAGAAGCUAUAGAAACUACUAAGUUGCUUGCCUUGAAAGAAGGUUUACUGUUCAGGACAUUUUCUCAUGAAGGAGAAAACUUCUCAUUCUCAAGCAUGGUUUAUCUAUUCAUGGGUUCCAAAUGUCAUUGUUGCUAAGAAGUAAGAAAACAGAAAAUCCACCUCAAGCAUUAGCGAAAGAAGCAAUUGUUGAUGAGAGAUAUGAGUUAUCUCUUUUUUUAAUCAUCUUAUUUUAAUUAUCAUUUGAUUGUGAUAUUAUAUUUCUAUUGCAAGUUUUUAUUUUGAUAAUGAUUAAAAGUUUCGUAACAUUGUUGAUAGUGACAUGUGUUAAGAGACAAGGCUUGGUGAUAUUUCUUAUCUCUUUCACCUUGUCUUAGUGUUGUUUAUUACUUGUGAAUGUU